GACGAACGCUGGCGGCGUGCUUAACACAUGCAAGUCGUACGGUAAGGCCCUUUCGGGGGUACACGAGUGGCGAACGGGUGAGUAACACGUGAGUAACCUGCCCACAACUUUGGGAUAACGCUAGGAAACUGGUGCCAAUACUGGAUAUGUGCUUCUGCUGCAUGGUGGGGGUUGGAAAGCUCCGGCGGUUGUGGAUGGACUGGCGGCGUAUCAGCUUGUUGGUGGGGUAGUGGCCUACCAAGGCGGCGACGGGUAGCCGGCCUGAGAGGGUGACCGGCCACAUUGGGACUGAGAUACGGCCCAGACGCCGACGGGAGGCAGAAGUGGGGAAGAUUGCACAAGGGGCGCAGGCCGGAUGCAGAAACGCCGCGUGCGGGAUGACGGACUUCGGUUUGUAGACCGCUUUCAGCAGGGACGAAGCUUUUUGUGACGGUACCUGCAGAAGAAGCACCGGCUAACUACGUG
RNAcentral lists this ribosomal RNA (465 nucleotides) under uncultured bacterium. RNAcentral's name for it is "partial 16S ribosomal RNA". It matches the Rfam family "Bacterial small subunit ribosomal RNA", at positions 28 to 507 of the family's 1533-position model. The record is from RNAcentral.